UUGUCCUUCACAGCUUCCAUCUGCACCAAAGCUGGACUUUUCAGUUUGUGAGUCCUGGAACUGGGGUGUACAGAAGACAGUGUCUACUCUCUCUGCAGCCCCUACUAAAGUUUGUGAUUAUACAGCAGAAGGCUGGAAGCAUGUAAAGGAUUUGGUGAAGUGAAUACAUUGUAUAUAAAUAAACUUUUUAUUUAUCACUU
Molecule: long non-coding RNA, 200 nt
Organism: Hyla sarda
Lineage: Eukaryota; Metazoa; Chordata; Amphibia; Anura; Hylidae
Exons: 2
Source: RefSeq, a predicted model, not a curated record